CACUCCUACGGGAGGCAGCAGUGGGGAAUUUUGGACCAUGGGGGCAACCCUGAUCCAGCAAUGCCGCGUGAGUGAAGAAGGCCUUCGGGUUGUAAAGCUCUUUUGUCAGGGAAGAAACGGUGGUGGCGAAUAACUACUACUAAUGACGGUACCUGAAGAAUAAGCACCGGCUAACUACGUGCCAGCAGCCGCGGUAAUACGUAGGGUGCAAGCGUUAAUCGGAAUUACUGGGCGUAAAGCGUGCGCAGGCGGUUGUGUAAGUCAGAUGUGAAAUCCCCGGGCUCAACCUGGGAAUUGCAUUUGAGACUGCACGGCUAGAGUGUGUCAGAGGGGGGUAGAAUUCCACGUGUAGCAGUGAAAUGCGUAGAUAUGUGGAGGAAUACCGAUGGCGAAGGCAGCCCCCUGGGAUAACACUGACGCUCAUGCACGAAAGCGUGGGGAGCAAACAGGAUUAGAUACCCCAGUAGUCCCAUG
This 474-nucleotide ribosomal RNA is filed under the name uncultured organism. Its description in RNAcentral is "partial 16S ribosomal RNA". It matches the Rfam family "Bacterial small subunit ribosomal RNA", at positions 334 to 799 of the family's 1533-position model. The record is from RNAcentral.